Molecule: transfer RNA, 71 nt
Filed under: Dipodomys ordii (Ord's kangaroo rat)
Lineage: Eukaryota; Metazoa; Chordata; Mammalia; Rodentia; Heteromyidae
Rfam family: tRNA
About the family: Transfer RNA (tRNA) molecules are approximately 80 nucleotides in length. Their secondary structure includes four short double-helical elements and three loops (D, anti-codon, and T loops).
Source: Rfam by way of RNAcentral
GGUGCUGUAGCUCAGUGGUAGAGCACUUACCUAGCAGGCAUAAGGCCCUGGGUUGGAGUCCCAGCAUACCA